AGUGAACGCUGGCGGUAGGCCUAACACAUGCAAGUCGAACGGCAGCACAGUAAGAGCUUGCUCUUACGGGUGGCGAGUGGCGGACGGGUGAGGAAUACAUCGGAAUCUACUUUUUCGUGGGGGAUAACGUAGGGAAACUUACGCUAAUACCGCAUACGACCUACGGGUGAAAGCAGGGGAUCUUCGGACCUUGCGCGAUUGAAUGAGCCGAUGUCGGAUUAGCUAGUUGGCGGGGUAAAGGCCCACCAAGGCGACGAUCCGUAGCUGGUCUGAGAGGAUGAUCAGCCACACUGGAACGGAGACACGGUCCAGACUCCUACGGGAGGAAGCAGUGGGGAAUAUUGGACAAUGGGCGCAAGCCUGAUCCAGCCAUACCGCGUGGGUGAAGAAGGCCUUCGGGUUGUAAAGCCCUUUUGUUGGGAAAGAAAAGCAGCAGGUUAAUACCCCGCUGUUCUGACGGUACCCAAAGAAUAAGCACCGGCUAACUUCGUG
This 492-nucleotide ribosomal RNA is filed under the name uncultured bacterium. RNAcentral describes it as "partial 16S ribosomal RNA". It matches the Rfam family "Bacterial small subunit ribosomal RNA", at positions 29 to 507 of the family's 1533-position model. The record is from RNAcentral.